GACGAACGCUGGCGGCGUGCUUAACACAUGCAAGUCGAACGGAAAGGCCCUGCUUUUGUGGGGUGCUCGAGUGGCGAACGGGUGAGUAACACGUGAGUAACCUGCCCUUGACUUUGGGAUAACUUCAGGAAACUGGGGCUAAUACCGGAUAGGAGCUCCUGCUGCAUGGUGGGGGUUGGAAAGUUUCGGCGGUUGGGGAUGGACUCGCGGCUUAUCAGCUUGUUGGUGGGGUAGUGGCUUACCAAGGCUUUGACGGGUAGCCGGCCUGAGAGGGUGACCGGCCACAUUGGGACUGAGAUACGGCCCAGACUCCUACGGGAGGCAGCAGUGGGGAAUAUUGCACAAUGGGCGGAAGCCUGAUGCAGCAACGCCGCGUGCGGGAUGACGGCCUUCGGGUUGUAAACCGCUUUCGCCUGUGACGAAGCGUGAGUGACGGUAAUGGGUAAAGAAGCACCGGCUAACUACGUGCCAGCAGCCGCGGUGAUACGUAGGGUGCGAGCGUUGUCCGGAUUUAUUGGGCGUAAAGGGCUCGUAGGUGGUUGAUCGCGUCGGAAGUGUAAUCUUGGGGCUUAACCCUGAGCGUGCUUUCGAUACGGGUUGACUUGAGGAAGGUAGGGGAGAAUGGAAUUCCUGGUGGAGCGGUGGAAUGCGCAGAUAUCAGGAGGAACACCAGUGGCGAAGGCGGUUCUCUGGGCCUUUCCUGACGCUGAGGAGCGAAAGCGUGGGGAGCGAACAGGCUUAGAUACCCUGGUAGUCCACGCUGUAAACGGUGGGUACUAGGUGUGGGGUCCAUUCCACGGGUUCCGUGCCGUAGCUAACGCUUUAAGUACCCCGCCUGGGGAGUACGGCCGCAAGGCUAAAACUCAAAGGAAUUGACGGGGCCCCGCACAAGCGGCGGAGCAUGCGGAUUAAUUCGAUGCAACGCGUAGAACCUUACCUGGGUUUGACAUGGAUCGGGAGUGCUCAGAGAUGGGUGUGCCUCUUUUGGGGUCGGUUCACAGGUGGUGCAUGGCUGUCGUCAGCUCGUGUCGUGAGAUGUUGGGUUAAGUCCCGCAACGAGCGCAACCCUUGUUCACUGUUGCCAGCACGUUAUGGUGGGGACUCAGUGGAGACCGCCGGGGUCAACUCGGAGGAAGGUGGGGAUGACGUCAAGUCAUCAUGCCCCUUAUGUCCAGGGCUUCACGCAUGCUACAAUGGCUGGUACAGAGAGUGGCGAGCCUGUGAGGGUGAGCGAAUCUCGGAAAGCCGGUCUCAGUUCGGAUUGGGGUCUGCAACUCGACCUCAUGAAGUCGGAGUCGCUAGUAAUCGCAGAUCAGCAACGCUGCGGUGAAUACGUUCCCGGGGCUUGUACACACCGCCCGUCAAGUCAUGAAAGUUGGUAACACCCGAAGCCGGUGGCCUAACCGAUGUGGGGGAGCCGUCGAAGGUGGGACUGGUGAUUAGGACUAA
Molecule: ribosomal RNA, 1449 nt
Filed under: uncultured organism
Description: 16S ribosomal RNA
Rfam family: Bacterial small subunit ribosomal RNA
Source: RNAcentral